UCGCCGGCAAUCAGGUGAAAUGCUGAAAUACAAAAUGUGUCGAGGAAGUUGUCAAAACAUUGUGAUAACACUUUCUAGCCUCAACAACGACACUUGAUGGGGUACUUGGAGGCUACAUCCUGGCCUUAAUUGUGGUUGCGGCUUAAAUUGUUCUGCUCCUGUCCUUAAAGUACAUUAAUUUCGCAGCGAGGACCUUAUUUAUUGUUAGACUGCCCCAGCCAUGGAUAUUUUGCCAACAGCCUUCAGGAGAAAUUAAUCUGUCGGACGCGAAAUUUACGAGGCGUUGGGUGUCCAAAAGUUUCCGUGCAUUUUUCUGCCUUUGAAUAUUAACCUUUUGAAAUGGUACUGCGGCGCAAAAACAUUAACUUCCACUUAUCGUAAAUCAGCUGUUGGUAGGUGACAUUCUUGAAAAAUCAUUCUGGCCCGGACUGGCGUGGCAUGCUGGGGAGCACCAAUAUGGUUGAAUGGCAUAAAUGGGCGAAAAUUCAAAUAUGGCUUGCAGGACUCAGUUCGAUCCGGUUCGUUUCUGCUCUCGACUGUCAUAAAUCACAUAAAUGUGUGACCACAUCAGCAGCAUGCCGCAGAAAAAAAGCCAGAAACCAAAAAUAAUAAAAACACAACGAGUACCGCAGAAUAUGGGUUCAAUUAAGCAGUAAAGUGGAUGAUAUACGAUGGCUUA
Molecule: long non-coding RNA, 679 nt
Organism: Drosophila ananassae
Lineage: Eukaryota; Metazoa; Arthropoda; Insecta; Diptera; Drosophilidae
Exons: 3
Source: RefSeq, a predicted model, not a curated record